This 420-nucleotide ribosomal RNA is filed under the name bacterium. Its description in RNAcentral is "partial 16S ribosomal RNA". It matches the Rfam family "Bacterial small subunit ribosomal RNA", at positions 355 to 776 of the family's 1533-position model. The record is from RNAcentral.
UGGGGGAUAUUGCACAAUGGGCGAAAGCCUGAUGCAGCGACGCCGCGUGGGGGAUGAAGGCUUUCGGGUUGUAAACCUCUUUCGCUAUCGAACAAGGCCCGCUUAGGGUGGGUUGAGGGUAGGUGGAGAAGAAGCGCCGGCUAACUACUUGCCAGCAGCCGGGGUAAUACGUAGGGCGCGAGCGUUGUCCGGAAUUAUUGGGCGUAAAGGGCUUGUAGGCGGCUUGUUGCGCCUGCUGUGAAAACGCGGGGCUUAACUUCGCGCGUGCAGUGGGUACGGGCAGGCUUGAGUGUGGUAGGGGUGACUGGAAUUCCAGGUGUAGCGGUGGAAUGCGCAGAUAUCUGGAGGAACACCGAUGGCGAAGGCAGGUCACUGGGCCAUUACUGACGCUGAGGAGCGAAAGCAUGGGUAGCGAACAGG